Molecule: long non-coding RNA, 638 nt
Filed under: Cyanistes caeruleus (blue tit)
Lineage: Eukaryota; Metazoa; Chordata; Aves; Passeriformes; Paridae
Description: lncRNA (ENSCCEG00000014120.1)
Source: RNAcentral
UAUGAAUUAGAAUAACCUAUUUUUUAAAAAUUCAAACUAUUUCAGUCAACCUCACAAGUAGACAAAAUUAAUCAGCACAGUGACCUGUGUCAGAGCAGAAGGAAAAUACAUGCUCUCAGUGGUUCAGAGUACUACAAUAAUGAGAAGAUGGUGCACACUACAGCCACUACAUCUUGAUGGUUUCUCUGGCACAAGCUUCUAGCAGGUUAACAAAGUAUCACAGAGGAUGCUUGUCUGUAUUUGGGCUUCUCUCCCCAGUGUGCAGAAGAACAGGGUAAAAUAGAGAGGCUGAGCACCACUGUCAUGUUGUAAUGCCCUCUUUUUCUUUGCUAACUAGGAGUGGAGCAAAUAGGUGCAAGAGGCUAAUCUUGGAAAUAGAGUAAAAGGAAAGAGUGGUCCACAGUUACAAGGAAAAUUAAUAUUUUCAUUGCAUGAAUUUUGAAUUUUUUUUCCCUAAAUUUUCUCCAAAACACAUCACACCUCAAAUACAAAUGAAGACAAACUGCAGAGAGAUUCUAUAGACUUUCAGUCUAAAUCCAGGCACUGACUUCCAAGCAUCAGUUAGCUACCAGACAUCCAGCUGCAUCAGUCUCACCAAACAUGGUUAGAAAAAUAAAGCCUUUAAUAGCUCAGUGUCA